GAGAGUAAAAUAGUACGUGAAAUUGUUGAAAGGGAAACGAUUGAAGCCAGUCGUACCUUCGGGUAAUCAGCCUUUCGGGUGCGAUUCUGUGGAGUGUGAGGAGCUUAAACACCUUCAUGUUUUGCAUAUUCGUACUCUUGGGUGUACUUGCCCGUGUGGUUGGUUAACAUCAAUUUUGGUGGUCAUAAAAUGACUGGGGGAAUGUAGCUUCGAUCUUGUAUUGAAGUGUUAUAGCCUUCGGUAGAUGUGAUGAUCGAGAUUGAGGAUUGCAACGGAUACCCUUCGGGGCUACCUGUCUGGUCUCUGAUCGUUGCUCUGGUGCCGAAAGCUUGCUUACGGUUAUCAAAGUCGAUGGUCAAUAGGUUAGAACGGGUUAAAUUCGUUAAGGAUGUUGACGUAAUGGCUUUAAACGA
Molecule: ribosomal RNA, 413 nt
Filed under: uncultured Rhizophagus
Lineage: Eukaryota; Fungi; Glomeromycota; Glomeromycetes; Glomerales; Glomeraceae
Description: partial 28S ribosomal RNA
Source: RNAcentral